UCAAAGGAAUUGACGGGGACCCGCACAAGCGGUGGAUGAUGUGGAUUAAUUCGAUGCAACGCGAAAAACCUUACCUACCCUUGACAUGGCUGGAAUCCCCGAGAGAUUGGGGAGUGCUCGAAAGAGAACCAGUACACAGGUGCUGCAUGGCUGUCGUCAGCUCGUGUCGUGAGAUGUUGGGUUAAGUCCCGCAACGAGCGCAACCCUUGUCAUUAGUUGCUACGAAAGGGCACUCUA
This 237-nucleotide ribosomal RNA is filed under the name Janthinobacterium lividum. RNAcentral's name for it is "partial 16S ribosomal RNA". It matches the Rfam family "Bacterial small subunit ribosomal RNA", at positions 901 to 1142 of the family's 1533-position model. The record is from RNAcentral. Lineage: Bacteria; Pseudomonadati; Pseudomonadota; Betaproteobacteria; Burkholderiales; Oxalobacteraceae.